UACGUAGGGUGCAAGCGUUGUCCGGAAUUAUUGGGCGUAAAGAGCUCGUAGGCGGUCUGUCGCGUCUGCUGUGAAAACCUGGGGCUUAACCCCGGGCGUGCAGUGGAUACGGGCCGGCUGGAGGCAGGCAGGGGAGAAUGGAAUUCCCGGUGUAGCGGUGAAAUGCGCAGAUAUCGGGAGGAACACCGGUGGCGAAGGCGGUUCUCUGGGCCUGUACUGACGCUGAGGAGCGAAAGCGUGGGGAGCGAACAGG
Molecule: ribosomal RNA, 253 nt
Filed under: uncultured bacterium
Lineage: Bacteria
Description: partial 16S ribosomal RNA
Rfam family: Bacterial small subunit ribosomal RNA
Source: RNAcentral